Molecule: long non-coding RNA, 1252 nt
Organism: Gallus gallus (chicken)
Lineage: Eukaryota; Metazoa; Chordata; Aves; Galliformes; Phasianidae
Source: Ensembl
UUUGACUGAUCUGAUUUUUUUGAAAACAGGGCUUCAACUUGGGUUUGUAACAUUGUAACGAAGACCCCAAUCAACAAGGUAACAGCUGGUCUGCAAGCAUAAUUUUAAUAAGAAACUCCUUUCUGAUGCAUAAUUUUCCGAAAUAUUGAAAAUCCUUCUGGAUAUCAAAAUUUGUAUCUUUCAUGAUCUUUACAUGAAGAGGGUCCUCCUGAUCUCUGCAGCAUGAAUGUCCUGAGCAGUCCUGGUCCUGGAAGAACUGCAGUAGAUACAGAGAAGAGCAAUAAGGAUGAUCAAAGGAGUACCAAUAAUGCCAAAGAUGCUACACUAUAAACGAUCGAAUUUUACUGAGAAGCUCUGGAGCACGUCACAAAACAAAGAAAAGAAAACAUGAUGACUGGAAGCAUGAAUGACAGUGACAGGAAGCAUGUGGAAAAAUGGCCAGGAGAAGGGCCGGUUGCAGCGGGUGCUCUGGUUGAGGCCACGCCGGCGAGUCAUGGCGUCUCUCAAAGCAGGCGUGACACCUCCUACAACAUCAGACUUAGCCUCACCCUGCCUGAAAGCAACUCUCUGCCCAAGCUAGGAGUAUCUAAGUUGACUUCUAAACUCAGUACCAAGCCCAUUUUUAAUUGGCAAGUUGAUCGUGUGAAAAUGCUGACUGAACGUCAUUCGAUGAGCUUAAGGCUUCCACAGACAUCUAAGGCUAUGGAAGUAACCAUACCAGACGAAAACCACAGAUCCUUCUGGCCCAGCUCCUCAUCUCUGACAGUAACCAAGAAUGAAUCCAAGGAAGUAUAUAUGAACACAGUAUAUGAAUCGGCACUUUUUUAGUGAGCUCAGACAGCCUACAGCAAUCCUUGGCACAGGAACUUCCUGAGAAAAAAUGUGACGUGCUUCCGUCUUACAGCAGAGUGCAAGCUGAGAGUUAUAACACGGAAAUUUUGUGACAUUAUAUGCAUAUAUGACCAACAAGAAGUAUUUUUCUGUGGAACCAUGCAAAACACAUGAUUUAUCUGAGUGAACCUACAUGAUUCUAAAAUUUAAAUAUCUUCCAGUCUUUGUACAUUUCAUAUUGUGUUUAAAAAUAGGAUUUAUUUUUAAGACAACGCCACUUUUCUUUAACUUAGUAGUAACACAAUUAGCAAAAUAAAUGAUUUUAAAAGAUAAAUGCUAAUUAAAGUGAAAUCUACUAUAGUUACUACAUUUGAAUUCUGUGUAUCUGACAAAAGAAAUAAAGUUUAAAUAACUUUAGUAC